RNA transcript from Passer montanus (Eurasian tree sparrow), 7473 nucleotides. It is a transcript of the gene named ELKS/RAB6-interacting/CAST family member 2, with no coding region annotated. The transcript is spliced from 22 exons. Lineage: Eukaryota; Metazoa; Chordata; Aves; Passeriformes; Passeridae. The record is from RefSeq and is a predicted model, not a curated record.
AAGUGUUUUCUUCUUAAAGGCUCUGGUGAAGAUUUGUAGUGAAGAUUUCAAGAUUGUGACAACCUGAACCUUUGUAUCAUAGAUUUUUUACUGUGGAAUUUCUGGAGGUUUUUUUUUCAUGUUUGCAUGCAGAUGAGUAUUACUGUAUGUAUAAAAGCACCUAUUAAACCAUGUUUUAAAUUGUUUAAAUUAAUACAUAAAGUAAAUCCAACUUAAUUCCCCAUAAAUGUACUUUGUGUAAUCCUGUGAAGUAUUAUAAAGUGGCUAUAACAUGUUACCCUCUCCAAACAGUCUAAAAAUUGUCACAAUGUGUCUAUACAGUAACAGAUGGAAUACUAUCAAGUCAUGUUAUUAUAAAUGUAACAGUAGUGGGAAGCUCACACCUGCUACGUAAUGUCAGUUAUUAGCUAAUAAUUAAACUUUGUGGGAGCUGGAGUUGCCAUCCAUGGUCAGGUGUUCUGUAUUUCUUGUUAUUCAGUUGGACAAGCAGCUCCUCAACAGAACCCACAAGGAGCACGGAAGGGGGAAGCAGCUGUAGGCUCAGUGUCAGUUUCAAAGCAGCCAUACAGGGCUAUAGCAGCCAUACAGCUUUUAAUUAUUUUCACAUUAUUCCUGAAUUUGGUUCAUCUAAUAGGGCCACACUCACUUCAGAAAUUUGCUUCCAUUGGGGACUGCUGUGGUGGAUAGAUUUUAGCUCAGGUACUUUUGUUCCUGCCCCAAUCCUCCCCUCCCACCAUGUGAACAUGAUUAAGGCAGCGCCUCAGGCUUCAGUACUCAGCUGUUUAAAAUUGGAGAUUGUGCUGCCAAUAAAAGACUCCCUCACUGAAUAACUGCCCUGUAGUUCUGUUAGGAAAAGGGGAUGGGUAGGGGUGAGUAGUCCCUCAAUCCCAGUGUUUGUACGUGCUGGGUUUGCUGUAGAGGUUGAGAUCAUCAGUAGGGAAGGAGAUGUGUUUUCUGCUGCUUGAGGAUUGAGAGGAGAACCUCAGCUGCCUUCAGACAAAGUGCCUCAUGUUGACCCUCCCCCCCGCGGGUAUUGCGCGGCUCCGGCUCUCCCUGCUGCCUCCCUCCUCCGCGCAAACGGGAUGCCAGCUGAACGUGAUGUUGUAAAAUCCAUGUGAGGACGAAAGGCAGAUGCAAUGAUUUGAAAGGUCUGUCUUGGGUGGUAAACCAGAUUUUGCCUACUGGAAGAAUGCAGUGAAACUGCCAGUAUUUCUAGCCGGAAUUAUUAAUUUAAUAUUCAACUUUAGUGUUACUAGUUUCUUACUAAAUAGUACCUCAAAGUAGAAGAAAAAUGUAUGGAAGUGCAAGAACAAUCAGCAACUUGGAAGGAAGUCCCUCCAGGUCCCCUCGCCUGCCACGGUCCCCUCGCCUGGGCCACAGGAGAACCAGCAGCGGGGGAGGAGGGGGCACAGGGAAGACGUUGUCCAUGGAGAACAUCCAGUCCCUUAACGCAGCCUAUGCAACCUCUGGACCAAUGUACCUGAGUGACCACGAGGGUGUAGCUUCUACUACUUUCCCAAAGGGCACAAUGACUCUUGGAAGGGCUACAAAUCGAGCUGUGUAUGGUGGCCGAGUCACAGCCAUGGGGAGCAGCCCCAACAUCGCUUCUGCUGGACUGUCACACACAGAUGUGCUCUCUUACACUGACCAGCACGGAGGGCUGACCACAUCCUCACACCACCACCACCACCAGGUUCCUUCCAUGCUGAGACAGGUUAGGGAUAGCACCAUGUUAGAUCUGCAGGCUCAGCUUAAGGAUCUACAGAGGGAGAAUGACCUUCUCAGAAAAGAACUAGACAUCAAGGACAGCAAGCUGGGGUCCUCUAUGAACAGCAUCAAAACUUUCUGGAGUCCUGAGCUAAAGAAAGAGAGAGUAUUGAGGAAAGAGGAAGCAGCCAGAAUGUCAGUUCUUAAAGAACAGAUGAGAGUUUCCCAUGAAGAAAAUCAGCAUCUGCAAAUGACAAUCCAGGCACUUCAAGAUGAGCUUAGAACCCAGAGAGAUCUUAACCAUCUUCUCCAGCAAGAAAGUGGGAACCGAGGGGCUGAGCAUUUUACCAUUGAGCUCACGGAGGAGAAUUUUCGAAGACUUCAGGCAGAACAUGAUAGACAAGCUAAAGAGCUCUUCCUGUUGAGAAAAACUCUAGAAGAAAUGGAGCUUAGGAUUGAAACACAAAAGCAAACACUAAAUGCCAGAGAUGAAUCAAUAAAAAAGCUUCUAGAGAUGUUGCAAAGUAAAGGUUUGCCUUCUAAAGGAAUGGAAGAUGACAAUGAGAGAACUCGAAGGAUGGCAGAGGCUGAAUCUCAGGUUAAUCAUUUAGAAGUGAUUUUAGAUCAGAAGGAGAAGGAAAACAUGCAUCUUAGAGAGGAAUUGCAUAGAAGAACCCAACUUCAGCCUGAGCCAGCAAAGACGAAGGCUCUGCAAACAGUCAUCGAGAUGAAGGAUACAAAAAUAGCUUCACUUGAGCGCAAUAUAAGAGAUCUUGAAGAUGAAAUACAGAUGUUAAAGACAAAUGGAGUUCUGAAUACAGAGGACCGAGAAGAAGAAAUCAAACAAAUAGAAGUUUACAAGAGUCACUCAAAGUUCAUGAAAAAUAAGAUUGAUCAACUGAAACAAGAACUCUCAAAGAAAGAAUCAGAACUUCUUGCCUUACAAACUAAGCUUGAAACCCUUAGCAAUCAGAAUUCAGAUUGCAAGCAACACAUUGAAGUGCUUAAAGAGUCCCUUACUGCCAAAGAACAGAGAGCUGCCAUACUUCAGACAGAGGUUGAUGCCUUGCGGUUACGGUUAGAAGAAAAGGAAACCUUUCUGAAUAAAAAAACAAAACAACUUCAAGACCUCACAGAAGAGAAGGGAACCCUUGCUGGAGAAAUUCGAGAUAUGAAAGACAUGUUGGAAGUAAAAGAAAGAAAAAUUAAUGUCCUUCAGAAAAAGAUUGAAAAUCUACAGGAGCAACUUAGGGACAAAGACAAACAGCUAACUAAUCUAAAAGACAGAGUGAAGUCGCUGCAGACGGAUUCCAGUAAUACAGACACAGCACUGGCAACCUUAGAGGAAGCUCUGUCAGAAAAGGAAAGAAUAAUAGAGCGUCUGAAGGAGCAAAGGGAUCGAGAUGACAGAGAAAGACUUGAAGAAAUUGAAUCUUAUAAAAAAGAAAACAAGGACCUGAAGGAGAAAGUUAAUGCUUUACAAGCUGAACUGACAGAAAAAGAGUCUAGUUUAAUCGAUCUCAAAGAACAUGCAUCUUCAUUGGCAUCAGCAGGGCUGAAAAAAGACUCCAAACUUAAGUCUUUAGAAAUAGCCAUAGAACAAAAGAAAGAAGAGUGUAGUAAGUUGGAAGCACAGUUGAAAAAGCAAGCUGAGCAGUUGUUCAAUCAGAUGUACAAUCCAAUGCCAAUUAGGAAUAAUGGGAAGCAAGGGGCUCAUGAAGCUGAAGAGGAGGCACGGAUGAAUCCAGAAUUUGCAGACAGAAUGAAACAGCUUGACAAGGAGGCAUCGUACUAUAGAGAAGAAUGUGGCAAAGCUCAGGCUGAGGUUGACAGACUUCUAGAAAUACUCAAGGAAGUAGAGAAUGAGAAGAAUGACAAAGAUAAGAAAAUUGCUGAGUUAGAAAGCUUGACUUCCAGACAUAUGAAGGACCAAAACAAGAAGGUUGCCAACCUGAAGCACAAUCAGCAGUUGGAGAAAAAGAAGAAUGCACAGUUGUUGGAAGAAGUUCGUAGGCGAGAGGACAAUAUGACUGACAACUCUCAACAUUUACAAGUAGAAGAGCUGAUGAAUGCAUUGGAGAAGACUAGACAAGAAUUAGACUCUACCAAAGCCCGUCUUGCCUCAACACAGCAGUCUUUGGCGGAAAAAGAAGCACAUCUGGCUAACCUGAGAAUAGAGCGAAGGAAGCAACUUGAAGAAAUUCUAGAAAUGAAACAGGAAGCUUUGCUUGCUGCAAUUAGUGAAAAAGAUGCAAAUAUUGCCUUGCUUGAGCUGUCUGCUUCAAAGAAAAAGAAGACUCAAGAUGAAGUAAUGGCUCUUAAACGAGAGAAGGACAGAUUAGUACAUCAGCUAAAACAGCAGACACAAAACAGAAUGAAGCUGAUGGCCGAUAACUAUGAUGAUGACCAUCACCACUACCACCACCACCACCAUCACCACCACCAUCGCUCUCCUGGGAGGACACAACACAACCACAGACCCUCUCCAGAUCAGGAUGAUGAGGAGGGUAUAUGGGCAUAGCCGCUCCUGUAAACCAAAGUUCCAGUUUUGUUUUGAGGGAUGAUCCAGUCACUGUUGGAGGCACAUAGCCACGGCACAAUCUCAUGCUGUACAUUGAUCACCUGUCCAACCUUUGCCUAGAGUGUGAUCCCCAGUUCCUUCAAGAGAUCCAUCUUUACCUGUCUAUAAAGAAGAAGAGGAGGAGGGAGACAUCUGGGAUAUUCAAGUAUCAAAGUUUAACACCAGAGCAGUUGUCAGAGGAACUAGUGAAAGAGGAAGAAAAAACUGUAGCACUGGAAGGUAACAAUGAUAAUCUAUUGCAUUGGAUCUCCAAACAUGACCAUGAUAUCCUGGAGAAGAUCACAGAUGCAGAAAAUGAAUGCUAAGGUUGAUAUCUAAUGAAAUGCUGCAUUGAUUAGCAUUUUCUCCAUUAUUUCUUGUAGUCUAUUGUGAAAUUAGAUACUUUGGAAAGUAAUGAAGGAGACUCAAGCAGAAAUUAUAAGAGCUUCAUUUCUGUCUUUAAUGGGUCUUGUGAGUUACUCUGUUUUUACAAAGACACCAUCUGUUCAGAAUAUAGUUGUUUCAUGAAGUUCAGUUAAACAGGUUACUUAGCAAAUUUUUGGUAAAUUAAUAUUGAUUUUAAUAGGUAAUUCAGAUUCCCUAGAUGUGGCAUCUGCAUUUGCUGAUUUUACCUAGUAUAUUCUAAAGUAUCACUUCUAUUGCACUAGAUUAUCAAAGAGGUAUUAGUAAAAUGCUAUAUAAGGGUGUUGGCAUUAACUUUACCCCCAGUUAGAUACAGGCUUUUCCAAAAAAUAAAAACAAGCCUUUACCCUCCUCUGUUUUCUUUUCUCUACUGAUAAAAUAAUAUAAAUUAAAAACAAACCAAAACCAAAUAUUGAUACUAUAACUGGUAUUAAGCUCUGGGCCAGGUUGGAAAUGAAAUCAAUUUUUGGUACUAAUAACUGAUGACAAAGCUUAGUUUUAUGAAAAUAUGGUGUGUGUCUCUGACAAUGCAUAGGACAUCUAAUUUGAACAUAAAUAAAUGAUUAUAUACAAGAUGUAUCUAUUCCUGGAUGGUAAAAGCUUGAGGUGUAUAUAAAUACAUAUGUGUGUAUAUAUAUGGACAUGUACACAAGGAUGUAUCAACCUUUUACCAUCCAAAUGCAUACAUUGUUUUCAACAAUAAAAGCUGGGACUCUUAAAGAAACAAACAAAAACAAAAAUAAAGAUAAGAUUGCUGUGAAUACAGUAUAUGCACUAGGUCUCCUGUAAAUGUGGAACUGUUUGUUAUUGUUCUCUGCAUUGAAAAACAGUCUCCAACACAGACCCCAAUGAAUCUUAGAUGUUAAAGAAAAUACCAAUGAACAAACAGCACUUGAAGGCUGUUUGUGUCAACAAAAUGUGUCUAGUAAAAUAAAUUUAAAGCACAUGCAAGGAAAAAUAAAAAUGUGAAGUCGUUCCAUUCAAUGAGAGACUCUUAACUGACAGUCAGAUCUCUACCACUUCUCAAGGAGAGGUUCCUUCUGACUCCACAAACAUUUUCAGUCAGUCUGGCAAACAUGUGCAAAUGUUUGGCUGUUUUGUUGAGGCAUCUUUUUGUCCAUGGAAGAAAUGCUUCCAUGCUGAUGGCAGUGGAAAUAGAAUAUCUGCAUUUUUAAAGGACAAACAAUAAAUUUAAGCAUGGGUGGCCUUAAUCCUUAGUAGUUUUUCUUUGCUGCUGUUAAAAAAAAAAGAAAAAAAGAAAAAAAAAGGAAAAAAAAUUAAAUGGAUACUCCUAAAGUCUUGCACUGAAUUUAGAAAAAUUAUUUUUUGAACCUGUGGUGCGAUUAACCCUAAACAUCCUACAUGAGCCAUACAUAGUAAUCCCCUUAAAAUUAUUGUCUAGAAAUGAUGUUUUAUUUAUUUGUACCAUGAUUCUCGGUGCAAUCAAGGAGCAAUUUAUUUGAGCAGGAGUCCUGCUGGAUGUGACUGUCUUCAGUAAAUAGAAUAAAAUGUAUAGAAUUAGCAUAGCGUAGAUAAUCCCAAUUUCAUUCAUGUUUAAAAAGUUUGUCCUUUAACUAUCAACGGCAUUUUAAAUCUUUGUUUUUGAAACAGCAAAGCUUUUGGGAGUAUAUUUAGCACAUAUGACAAAUGUUGCACUUGGAAACUCAGACAACAAAACAGGUUUCUCAUGACAAAUUUGUUGUCGCAGUAGGGGACAAUCGUCUGUGUCUCUUACAAUCAGGUCUUUACCUUAACUCUGCAACCGAAUACUUGAAGUAGGAUUUAAACUAGGGGGAAAUAGGGUCACAGAUACAAAGCUGUAUAGUUAGAUAUUUAUAUGUAUGUGCCAAUUUUGUCACAGAUAUUAUUUUAGGGGCAUUUUUGCUCCACUCAUGUUGGUAUGAGUAUUGAUCUAAACUUUUAUCAGGGCCUAAAAGUUAGCCCCUAAAGAGGAAAAUUUUGUCUAACAUUGAUUUUUUUCCUUCUUGCUUUUUUUUUUUUGUGGUUUUUUUUUUUUCUCCUUCUUUUCAUUUCAUGUGAUAUUCUAUGACGUUUGGAGAAAAUCUUUUCAUAUCCUAAAAUAGAAUCUCGGGGUUUACAAUAAACACUGUGAUGUUGGGAAAUAUUUUAUUUGAGCAAUGUUUGGUAGAUUUUUUUUUCCCCCCUCCUCUGAGUGUAAUGAAGCAAACCAACUUUUGCUUAACAUUUAAGAUAAUGGUUAUUAUUUUAAUGUGAGAUCAGUCUUGUACUGCACAUUCUUUCUUUCAUUUAAAUGUACAGUAUGAAUUUUGUAUUUAAUGAAUUUUGUGUAUCCAGUAUGCACGUACCUGCACAUUGACUUUCAUUUGAAAGUGGGUUUCGAUUUCCUUUUUAAACAGUGUUUAUGAAAAGACCUCAGAUGUGUUGACACAAACUAUAUCCGCAAUGUUUCUUUUGUGUGUGUAGGGUGACGUUUGAAUGUGAUGUUCUGCAGCAAUGGGUCAGUAUCCCCUAUUUACCUUAGAUCCUCAUUUGAUAGUGCUUCUUGUAAUAAUUUUUUCAAGUGAGUGGCAUGUUCUGGAUUGUGAUAUUGAUAUAUGGUUAAGGACAUUGAUAUGAAACUAAGGAAUUCCUAGAAAUUACCAGUGGGCAUGUAUUAGACAGUCAUUGUAAUUUAAUGUCUCGUAGAAGUGUAAAGUACCAAGGUAUUUAGAGUUCAUAACAUUGUUAUCAUGUGUAUGGGAAGUAUUUAGUGUUGAUCAGCUUGUUUAUUUUCAUCAAAUAAACUUUGUUUCUUUCUGAAA